RNAcentral lists this ribosomal RNA (392 nucleotides) under uncultured Fusibacter sp. Its description in RNAcentral is "bacterial SSU rRNA". It matches the Rfam family "Bacterial small subunit ribosomal RNA", at positions 993 to 1382 of the family's 1533-position model. Lineage: Bacteria; Bacillati; Bacillota; Clostridia; Eubacteriales; Fusibacteraceae. The record is from RNAcentral.
GACCAUCUUUUAAUCGAGAUUUUGCCUUCGGGUACAAUUGAGACAGGUGGUGCAUGGUUGUCGUCAGCUCGUGUCGUGAGAUGUUGGGUUAAGUCCCGCAACGAGCGCAACCCUUGUGUUUUAGUUGCAAACAGGUCAAGCUGUGCACUCUAGACAGACUGCCGUGGACAACACGGAGGAAGGUGGGGAUGACGUCAAAUCAUCAUGCCCCUUAUGAUCUGGGCUACACACGUGCUACAAUGGCCGGUACAACGGGCAGCGAAGGAGCGAUCCGGAGCGAAUCCUAAAAAGCCGGCCCCAGUUCGGAUUGCAGGCUGAAACUCGCCUACAUGAAGUUGGAGUUGCUAGUAAUCGCGAAUCAGAAUGUCGCGGUGAAUGCGUUCCCGGGUCUU